This 463-nucleotide ribosomal RNA is filed under the name uncultured bacterium. Its description in RNAcentral is "partial 16S ribosomal RNA". It matches the Rfam family "Bacterial small subunit ribosomal RNA", at positions 339 to 795 of the family's 1533-position model. The record is from RNAcentral.
CUACGGGAGGCACCAGUAGGGAAUAUUCGUCAAUGGGGGAAACCCUGAACGAGCAAUGCCGCGUGAAUGAUGACGGUCAUAUGAUUGUAAAGUUCUGUUGUUUGGGAAGAACACUUAGAGUAGGAAAUGGCUCUAAGUUGACGGUACCAUUCAAGAAAGCUCCGGCUAACUACGUGCCAGCAGCCGCGGUAAUACGUAGGGAGCGAGCGUUAUCCGGAUUUAUUGGGCGUAAAGCGUGCGUAGGCGGUUAAUUAAGUCAGUUGUUAAAUACUGGGGCUCAACCCCAGUCUGCAAUUGAUACUGGUUAACUUGAGUAGAGUAGAGGCAAAUGGAAUUCCUAGUGUAGCGGUGGAAUGCGUAGAUAUUAGGAGGAACACCAGUGGCGAAGGCGAUUUGCUGGGCUCUCACUGACGCUGAGGCACGAAAGCGUGGGUAGCAAAUAGGAUUAGAUACCCUCGUAGUC